Molecule: ribosomal RNA, 313 nt
Filed under: uncultured Arcobacter sp.
Lineage: Bacteria; Pseudomonadati; Campylobacterota; Epsilonproteobacteria; Campylobacterales; Arcobacteraceae
Description: bacterial SSU rRNA
Rfam family: Bacterial small subunit ribosomal RNA
Source: RNAcentral
AGUGAACGCUGGCGGCGUGCUUAACACAUGCAAGUCGAACGAGAACGGGUAUUAGCUUGCUAAUACUGUCAGCUAAGUGGCGCACGGGUGAGUAAUAUAUAGUUAGCCUGCCCUAGAGAAGGGGAUAACGUUUGGAAACGGACGCUAACACCCUAUAUGCCUUUAAUACAAAAGUCUGCAAGGGAAAUAUUUAUAGCUCUAGGAUCGGCCUGUACGGUAUCAGCUAGUUGGUGAGGUAAUGGCUCACCAAGGCAAUGACGCCUAACUGGUUUGAGAGGAUGAUCAGUCACACUGGAACUGAGACACGGUCCAG